GCUUGUCUCAAAGAUUAAGCCAUGCAUGUCUAAGUAUAAACAAAUCUAUACUGUGAAACUGCGAAUGGCUCAUUAUAUCAGUUAUAGUUUAUUUGAUGGUUCUUACUACUUGGAUAACCGUAGUAAUUCUAGAGCUAAUACAUGCAUCAACCCCCGACUUUUGAAGGGGUGUAUUUAUUAGAUGGAAACCAAUGCGGGGCAACCCGGUUGUUGGUGAUUCAUAAUAACUUUUGCGGAUCGCAUGGCCUUGAGCCGGCGACGAAUCAUUCAAAUUUCUGCCCUAUCAACUUUCGAUGGUACGGUAUUGGCCUACCAUGGUUACCACGGGUAACGGGGAAUUAGGGUUCGGUUCCGGAGAGGGGGCCUGAGAAAUGGCCACCACAUCCAAGGAAGGCAGCAGG
RNAcentral lists this ribosomal RNA (401 nucleotides) under uncultured Salpingoecidae. RNAcentral describes it as "partial small subunit ribosomal RNA". It matches the Rfam family "Eukaryotic small subunit ribosomal RNA", at positions 30 to 432 of the family's 1831-position model. Lineage: Eukaryota; Choanoflagellata; Craspedida; Salpingoecidae. The record is from RNAcentral.